ACUCGAGUGGCGAACGGGUGAGUAACACGUGGUUGAUCUGCCCUGCACUUCGGGAUAAGCUUGGGAAACUGGGUCUAAUACCGGAUAGGAGCCAUCUCUAGUGUGGUGGUUGGAAAGUUUUUUCGGUGUAGGAUGAGCUCGCGGCCUAUCAGCUUGUUGGUGGGGUAGUGGCUUACCAAGGCUUUGACGGGUAGCCGGCCUGAGAGGGUGACCGGCCACAUUGGGACUGAGAUACGGCCCAG
RNAcentral lists this ribosomal RNA (242 nucleotides) under uncultured Actinomycetales bacterium. Its description in RNAcentral is "partial 16S ribosomal RNA". It matches the Rfam family "Bacterial small subunit ribosomal RNA", at positions 89 to 334 of the family's 1533-position model. The record is from RNAcentral. Lineage: Bacteria; Bacillati; Actinomycetota; Actinomycetes; Actinomycetales.